GAUGAACGCUGGCGGCGUGCCUAAUACAUGCAAGUCGAGCGAACAGACGAGGAGCUUGCUCCUCUGACGUUAGCGGCGGACGGGUGAGUAACACGUGGAUAACCUACCUAUAAGACUGGGAUAACUUCGGGAAACCGGAGCUAAUACCGGAUAAUAUAUUGAACCGCAUGGUUCAAUAGUGAAAGACGGUUUUGCUGUCACUUAUAGAUGGAUCCGCGCCGCAUUAGCUAGUUGGUAAGGUAACAGCUUACCAAGGCAACGAUGCGUAGCCGACCGGAGAGGGUGAUCGGCCACCCUGGAACGGAGACACGGUCCAGACUCCUACGGGAGGCAGCAGUAGGGAAUCUUCCGCAAUGGGCGAAAGCCUGACGGAGCAACGCCGCGUGAGUGAUGAAGGUCUUCGGAUCGUAAAACUCUGUUAUUAGGGAAGAACAAAUGUGUAAGUAACUAUGCACGUCUUGACGGUACCUAAUCAGAAAGCCACGGCUAACUACGUG
RNAcentral lists this ribosomal RNA (497 nucleotides) under uncultured bacterium. RNAcentral's name for it is "partial 16S ribosomal RNA". It matches the Rfam family "Bacterial small subunit ribosomal RNA", at positions 28 to 507 of the family's 1533-position model. The record is from RNAcentral.